GCGACGAUCAGUAGGGGUUCUGAGAGGAAGGUCCCCCACAUUGGAACUGAGACACGGUCCAAACUCCUACGGGAGGCAGCAGUGAGGAAUAUUGGUCAAUGGGCGAGAGCCUGAACCAGCCAAGUAGCGUGCAGGAUGACGGCCCUAUGGGUUGUAAACUGCUUUUGUAGGGGAAUAAAGUGAGCCACGUGUGGUUUUUUGCAUGUACCCUAUGAAUAAGGACCGGCUAAUUCCGUGCCAGCAGCCGCGGUAAUACGGAAGGUCCGGGCGUUAUCCGGAUUUAUUGGGUUUAAAGGGAGCGUAGGCCGGAGAUUAAGCGUGUUGUGAAAUGUAGAUGCUCAACAUCUGCACUGCAGCGCGAACUGGUUUCCUUGAGUACGCAUAAAGUGGGCGGAAUUCGUGGUGUAGCGGUGAAAUGCUUAGAUAUCACGAAGAACUCCGAUUGCGAAGGCAGCUCACUGGGGCGCAACUGACGCUGAAGCUCGAAAGCGCGGGUAUCGAACAGGAUUAGAUACCCUGGUAGUCCGCGCGGUAAACGAUGGAUGCCCGCUGUUGGGCCAACUGGUUCAGCGGCCAAGCGAAAGCAUUAAGCAUCCCACCUGGGGAGUACGCCGGCAACGGUGAAACUCAAAGGAAUUGACGGGGGCCCGCACAAGCGGAGGAACAUGUGGUUUAAUUCGAUGAUACGCGAGGAACCUUACCCGGGCUUGAAUUGCAGAGGAAGGAUUUGGAGACAAUGACGCCCUUCGGGGCCUCUGUGAAGGUGCUGCAUGGUUGUCGUCAGCUCGUGCCGUGAGGUGUCGGCUUAAGUGCCAUAACGAGCGCAACCCCUCUCCAUAGUUGCCAUCAGGUUAAGCUGGGCACUCUGUGGACACUGCCACCGUAAGGUGUGAGGAAGGUGGGGAUGACGUCAAAUCAGCACGGCCCUUACGUCCGGGGCUACACACGUGUUACAAUGGCAGGUACAGAGAGCCGGUCGUAUGCAAAUACGAUCCAAUCCUUAAAGCCUGUCUCAGUUCGGACUGGGGUCUGCAACCCGACCCCACGAAGCUGGAUUCGCUAGUAAUCGCGCAUCAGCCAUGGCGCGGUGAAUACGUUCCCGGGCCUUGUACACACCGCCCGUCAAGCCAUGAAAGCCGGGGGCGCCUGAAGUCCGUGACCGCAAGGAGCGGCCUAGGGCGAAACUGGUAAUUGGGGCUAAGUCGUAACAAGGUA
RNAcentral lists this ribosomal RNA (1215 nucleotides) under metagenome. Its description in RNAcentral is "bacterial SSU rRNA". It matches the Rfam family "Bacterial small subunit ribosomal RNA", at positions 273 to 1498 of the family's 1533-position model. The record is from RNAcentral.